UACGUAGGGUGCAAGCGUUAAUCGGAAUUACUGGGCGUAAAGGGCGCGUAGGCGGCCUUCUAAGUCAGACGUGAAAUCCCCCGGCUUAACCUGGGAACUGCGUCUGAUACUGGGAGGCUUGAGUAUGGGAGAGGGAUGUAGAAUUCCAGGUGUAGCGGUGAAAUGCGUAGAUAUCUGGAGGAAUACCGGUGGCGAAGGCGGCAUCCUGGACCAUAACUGACGCUGAGGCACGAAAGCUAGGGGAGCAAACGGG
This 253-nucleotide ribosomal RNA is filed under the name uncultured bacterium. Its description in RNAcentral is "partial 16S ribosomal RNA". It matches the Rfam family "Bacterial small subunit ribosomal RNA", at positions 524 to 776 of the family's 1533-position model. The record is from RNAcentral.